Diceros bicornis minor is the source of this 529-nucleotide long non-coding RNA. RefSeq lists it as uncharacterized. The transcript is spliced from 3 exons. The record is from RefSeq and is a predicted model, not a curated record. Lineage: Eukaryota; Metazoa; Chordata; Mammalia; Perissodactyla; Rhinocerotidae.
UUGGACACAGACUGGAACUAUACCAUCAACUCUCCUGGGCCUCCAGAUUGCUGGCUGCAGAUCCUGGUACUUCUCAGCCUCCAUAACCCCGGUUAUGGCAAGCCACUGGAGAAUUUUUUAUAAGGUGAGGCCUUUCAGAAGUAAUUAGGUGAGGUCAUGAGGAUGGAGACUCCAUGAUGGGAUUAGUGCUCUUAUAAGAAGAGGAGGAGACAGCAGAGCUUCCUCUCUCUGCCAUGUGAAGACACAGCAAGAAGUCGGCCAUCUGCAAGCCAGGAAGAGGGCCUUCACCAAGAACCAAAUCUGCUGGCACCUUGAUCUUGGACUUCCCAGACUCCAGAACUGUGAGAAGUAAAUGUCUGUUAUUUAAGCUACUUAGUCAAUGUCAAUUUUAUUAUAGCAACUGGAGCUACCCAAGAAGAUCCUGAAUAUAAUUAUGUUGUAUGGACUUAACACAAUGUGUUUAUCCAUUCUUUCCUUGACAAACUUUUGAGUAGUUUCCAGUUUGGUGCUUUUAUGAAUAAAGAUGUUA